Molecule: ribosomal RNA, 484 nt
Filed under: uncultured bacterium
Lineage: Bacteria
Description: partial 16S ribosomal RNA
Rfam family: Bacterial small subunit ribosomal RNA
Source: RNAcentral
AUUGAACGCUUGCUUCAGGCCUAACACAUGCAAGUCGAGCGGAUGAAGGGAGCUUGCUCCUGGAUUCAGCGGCGGACGGGUGAGUAAUGCCUAGGAAUCUGCCUGGUAGUGGGGGAUAACGUCCGGAAACGGGCGCUAAUACCGCAUACGUCCUGAGGGAGAAAGUGGGGGAUCUUCGGACCUCACGCUAUCAGAUGAGCCUAGGUCGGAUUAGCUAGUUGGUGGGGUAAAGGCCUACCAAGGCGACGAUCCGUAACUGGUCUGAGAGGAUGAUCAGUCACACUGGAACUGAGACACGGUCCAGACUCCUACGGGAGGCAGCAGUGGGGAAUAUUGGACAAUGGGCGAAAGCCUGAUCCAGCCAUGCCGCGUGUGUGAAGAAGGUCUUCGGAUUGUAAAGCACUUUAAGUUGGGAGGAAGGGCAGUAAGUUAAUACCUUGCUGUUUUGACGUUACCAACAGAAUAAGCACCGGCUAACUUCGUG